CGCUGCUCCUUCUUUCCCGUCUUGUUUCUGAGGCCUCGGACCUGCGAGGAAGCACAUUUACAUUUGACGUCGGUUUUACAACCAGAGGAACAAAUAAUCAUUUCAUUUCCAACCUUGCGUUUUCUUUUUCUCACAAUAGGCUUCCUCUUUGCGUGUUUGGAAGAGGACAAAAUAUUGGGAGUCUUGAAAUCCCAGGCUUCCGGGGAAUGGGAGAAGCCCUGCCGUCUGGUCCUGCAAUCCGGGGAUUUCCUUGGAAGCCAAGUGGACCUGAGAGUUCGAUUUACUCUCUCACGUUGCAGCCUGAUUUUUCCCCGCAGUAUGCACGCACACGCAUGCACACGCACAUACACACAUGUGCACACGCAUGCACACGCAGGCGCACACACACGGCUUUCUUCCCCUCCCACUCAGAAGGGUUCCUGCCGUCUGUACCGCGCCCGGCCCCUCGCAGCUCGUGGUUGGCGACACACAGGCCAGCGGUCAGAUGCAACUCAGAUGCAGCGUCCUGCCUCCUUCCUGCCCCUCGUUGCUCUGGUCAGGACUGCCCGGCGUGGGGGAAACUCAGGAGCGGAGAAACCGAGUCACAGAGAGAGGAUGGGAAAUUGUCUCCCGAGAGAACUCAGAUGAAGUUUCAGUUUACUCCUGGCCUCUCCUGGGGACCUGCCCAUCAUUAGAGAAUCUGGGAAUAUGCCCGACAUGUCUGGAGACGGAGGAGACACAGAAGCUGGGAGAGAAGCGAUGGACCUUAGGCAGGUAGUCCUGGGAAUUCCUGACUUCCUCCUGCAGCUGUCAAACAAAUCCCCAUCAAAUCUACCAGCUGGAGGAAACAGAAAUGAUAAGAAACAGAAACUCAACCCAACCAUUUUCCAGUCUCUAAAAUGUCCACAAUUAUCAACUUCACAACACUGUUUUAAGCUUUAAAUCAACAAAGCCAGCGACUGCUCUGUGAACUUGAUUUCUCCA
RNAcentral lists this long non-coding RNA (963 nucleotides) under Equus caballus (horse). RNAcentral describes it as "lncRNA (ENSECAG00000058889.1)". Lineage: Eukaryota; Metazoa; Chordata; Mammalia; Perissodactyla; Equidae. The record is from RNAcentral.